Molecule: long non-coding RNA, 729 nt
Organism: Nelumbo nucifera (sacred lotus)
Lineage: Eukaryota; Viridiplantae; Streptophyta; Magnoliopsida; Proteales; Nelumbonaceae
Source: RefSeq, a predicted model, not a curated record
GAUAGAAGAUAUAUUGAUAGAUUUUUUUUUUGGUAGAAAUAUUGAUAGUUAGAUACAUUGUACAUCGAGGCUCGAGGGUUAAAAUGACGUCUCAGCUCACAAUCUGCCCUGAAGGCCUCAAUGAGUCAAUGGAAGCCGUCUUUCUUUAAUCCCAAUUCUCAACAGACAUUAUACACCACGAGCCACAGCCACGGCGCGUAACCUCAAAGUCAGGAGUCCGAUUCAGUUUUACAAGUUCCGAAAGGCCCGACGAGAGAGCUAGACGGGAACCGGAAAGAAGGGGUUUGAACUUUGAAGAAGAUCUCUGCCGAAGAAAACCUCCUCCAGUUGCCCUGUAUCGGUACGAAAAUGUUGGGAUGCCAUGUGAAAUGCCUCCACAUGAAUGACACGUGUUGAUGGUUCUAACUCAUGUCUGGAAUGCUGGUUGUAACUCUUACAGCUCUAAUUCAUACAAGCCUUAAAUAAUUUAAACAAGGAUUGAGAGCCCUGAUUCUCUGUCUCAGAAGACUUGCUCAGGGAUGAUACUGAUCGUUCAGCGGCUGCUGCAAGAAAACAAGCACGGAUGGAAGAGAGAGCAGACACUGAGCAAUCCAUGACAUAUUCAUUCGUUUAGGAUGCGAUUGGCAUAAUUUAAGUGUGACAGAAGCAGAUGACAGAUGAUAAGGAUGAGGUCCCUCUUGCUCAUGUUUCAUUCAGCUUGGUGAAUUUUUGGCUUGAACCUCAUGCUCA